GUCCCCCGGCACGGUGGAGGUCUUACUGAGCGUCAUGAGCACCGGGCUAAGGGGCGGUUGAGCAACUCAAGCGAACCGCCCUACCUUACUACAACAUAAGGACAGAAGGGAGAAGGUUGUGAAGGUGGCCUCGUUAUCCACACCUCCGGUCAGAUGAAUGGAGGACCGACCCGGGUUUUCAUGAGCGUUGGCGGGUCCUGGAGUGCCUGUCAAGGGCUUUCAUUAGCGCAUACCCCGGGGUGAUCAUCACCACCUGCACCUCACAUCUCGGCACAGCGGAACGUGUAACCCGCCUGCUGUCUCAUUCAACUACAUUUGUUCCUGUAAUCCACAGCCUAACAGAACGCAGCAGCGAGGGACAACCCGCCCAUACAGCCAGCGGGGAGGAUGGCACUACUGGCAAAGACCGUCCGGCGAAAACGCCGCAGGCGCGAAGCGUGGUAGGCCUGUGCCGGGGGAGCAUAGCAUAGGUAGGAAAGGGAGCCUGGACGGUGGAAGAGCCAGGGGGGGGCCGGGUCAUUUGACGGAAAUGGAAGGCUUUUCCCCUAUUAGAGAAGGCCCUCUGAAGUCAAGGGGAAGUGCAUUAAUUCUUGGAAAAAUAGGGAGCGAGCCUAUAAAAAAAUGAAUGAAAGUGAAUUCAAUGAAUAGAUAGAGUCAACGGUACGACAGACAGCGCUGCCUACACGCGAAUUAGCUUCCGAGGUCGAGCAGUCUCAAUUUAACUACAGGAUUUGCGAAUGAAUGCUGGGCUGGGCCACCUCGAAUGGCGUGAGCCGCAUGCGGGGAGACCCGCACGUACGGUUUUUAGGGGGAUCUGGUCGAAAGACCGGCCGGCGCCCACCCGACUAGAGGGACUGAGAAAUUAAUAGAGUACAAAACUUAUCUUCAAGCUUUACCUUAUUCUGAUCGUUUAGAGGGCGAUCGCGGAGUCACUGAAUGAAGUCCUCCGUUUCUUUCGGAGGUGCUGACCCGCAGCGAGGCAGAGAUGACUAAGUUACAUAUGGAAGAUGGCGACGACAACAGCAUGUCGUAGAAGGAGAUAACAGGUGGAGCCAACGAUCCGCUAAGACUCACGUAUCUACAACUCCAUCCCCGAGCGGCAGUCAAAAGGAGGCGUGAAUGCAAGAUGCCAGCGGAAUGAUCGGCCGGACAGAGGCUAGGGCUGCUUCCUUCCCACCGCGUCCUUCCUUGUGUGUCGGAGAUAUAAAGCGAGUGCACCGGAAAAGAACGGGAACUGGGUCGAUCUAUUCUAUGGCGAAGCAUCCGAAGCAUAACUGCACACUCACACGAUCUUUGCCGAGAGAUAGGAGCAUUCGGUGGAACCGGUGAACUACACUUGCUUCUGGAUAGAUGUGUGGGACAGAGGGCUCGUGGUACCUGCUGCCCACCCUUCCUCCUCUGCUUUGAGAACCGUGUGAACGGAGAGUGGGCAGAAGGGAAGGAGGUCCUCAUACGGAGUCGCACACUGACUUGAGCAGUGCGGAAGACUGGGGAAUGGGUUGAGUAAACUCCCCUGGGGCCGGAAAAAUAACAGACGAAGCUUUACUUAGAUAGGGCUUUGAUUGGUCUUUUUUUUUUUCUUAGUGAUUGGAAAGGAGGGCGCCUGGGUAUUUUACAAAAAGGGAAGGCAGAGGUAGUACUUCGAAUGGCGAAACGAAGGGCUAAAUAGCGCCAGUGAUUCUCUGAGCCGGUCUGGAUUUUCAACGCCUCGGGAAACUGGUCGAGAUAGAUGACAGCACCCUUUUCCUCUCUUCUAUUUCCGUGCCGGGAGGGCAAUCUUAUCUUAUGGCCUUUCCCCCCCGGCACGGAAAUAGAAGCCAGCCCCCCCUUCUGAUCCAUAAAUUUCUGCAAGCAGGGGGAUCCAGAGCUAAGCCUCCCGUCUAUUGCAUAACCUAAAAAAGCUAUAAGCAAAGUACCAAAGGUGCGCUCCUUUCCAAACGGAUCCGGUGACUCAGAAAGAAAUUGGUUUGCGCUUUGAAGUGAUGAGGUCUUUAUUGAAGAGGGAAGUAGGGCUCCUAUUGAAAGGCUUUCCCUCCCUCAAAAGGCGACCAGCUUUCAAUACUAGUUGUUACGUUACGCUGCCAUUUUUCCAAUAUAUAUCAUUGAAUAGCAUGGCCUGCCUGGGGCUAAGGUAACUCAAGUGGGAGAGCCGUGUUAUGGGUGACCUUAUUGCACGGUUCAGAGAGCACUUGUGUAUGUGAUGCAAGUGAACGUGUACGAAAAAGCUGUAUCUAGGGUGAGUUCUUCGUUCCGUCGUCGACCC
This 2263-nucleotide small RNA is filed under the name Lupinus albus (white lupine). Lineage: Eukaryota; Viridiplantae; Streptophyta; Magnoliopsida; Fabales; Fabaceae. The record is from RNAcentral.